UAGGGAAUCUUCGGCAAUGGACGGAAGUCUGACCGAGCAACGCCGCGUGAGUGAUGAAGGUCUUCGGAUCGUAAAGCUCUGUUGCCAGGGAAGAAGGGCAAGGAGAGUGACUGCUCUUUGCUUGACGGUACCUGAGAAGAAAGCCCCGGCUAACUACGUGCCAGCAGCCGCGGUAAUACGUAGGGGGCGAGCGUUGUCCGGAAUUAUUGGGCGUAAAGCGCGCGCAGGCGGUUCUUUAAGUCUGGUGUAUAAGCCCGUGGCUCAACCACGGGACGCACUGGAAACUGGGGGGCUGGAGUGCAGGAGAGGAAAGUGGAAUUCCACGUGUAGCGGUGAAAUGCGUAGAGAUGUGGAGGAACACCAGUGGCGAAGGCGACUUUCUGGCCUGUAACUGACGCUGAGGCGCGAAAGCGUGGGGAGCAAACA
Molecule: ribosomal RNA, 426 nt
Filed under: uncultured Thermobacillus sp.
Lineage: Bacteria; Bacillati; Bacillota; Bacilli; Caryophanales; Paenibacillaceae
Description: bacterial SSU rRNA
Rfam family: Bacterial small subunit ribosomal RNA
Source: RNAcentral